This 484-nucleotide ribosomal RNA is filed under the name uncultured bacterium. RNAcentral describes it as "partial 16S ribosomal RNA". It matches the Rfam family "Bacterial small subunit ribosomal RNA", at positions 29 to 507 of the family's 1533-position model. The record is from RNAcentral.
AUUGAACGCUGGCGGCAUGCUUUACACAUGCAAGUCGAACGGCAGCGCGGGCUUCGGCCUGGCGGCGAGUGGCGAACGGGUGAGUAAUGCAUCGGAACGUGCCCAGUAGUGGGGGAUAGCCCGGCGAAAGCCGGAUUAAUACCGCAUACGACCUGAGGGUGAAAGCGGGGGACCGAAAGGCCUCGCGCUAUUGGAGCGGCCGAUGUCGGAUUAGCUAGUUGGUGGGGUAAAGGCUUACCAAGGCGACGAUCCGUAGCUGGUCUGAGAGGACGACCAGCCACACUGGGACUGAGACACGGCCCAGACUCCUACGGGAGGCAGAAGUGGGGAAUUUUGGACAAUGGGGGCAACCCUGAUCCAGCCAUGCCGCGUGCGGGAAGAAGGCCUUCGGGUUGUAAACCGCUUUUGUUCGGGAAGAAAUCCUCUGGGCUAAUACCCCGGGGGGAUGACGGUACCGGAAGAAUAAGCACCGGCUAACUACGUG